This is a non-coding RNA of Drosophila melanogaster (fruit fly), 931 nucleotides long. The record is from Ensembl. NCBI's taxonomy places the organism in Eukaryota, Metazoa, Arthropoda, Insecta, Diptera, Drosophilidae.
AGUUCUUGCAGCUCCCUCGAGGUGACAACGAAUCCAGCGAAUCGUCAGAGCUGGAUUUGCGGGCAUUGAUGCCUGACACACUGACACUGACUGGUCUUAAGCUGGAAAAGACACUCACCGAAAUUCUAGUCUAGUGUUUUAUGACAUAGCUAAAAAAAAAAUUCAUCACCCCUAACCAUCGACAGUGUAUGGAUCACCUCAGUCACAAAGCAACUAAACCAGCGACUAAAUUUCUCACAGGUUUGUAAUUUAAGCGCCCCACAACAACUGGCGACUACAACAUAUAUCUACAUAUCCGUACCCACGACGACGGCAAACUGCGGGAUCACCACAAACUAAUUGCAAGGCUUAAAUGCGAUACUUUUAUGCAUUUUAAAUAUUUCAAUUAGUCGGCGCACAGAGUGCAGACGGCACUGGGAAUGAGAUUGAAAACUAAAAACCGAAACCGAAAUGGAAAUGGAAAUGGAAACGAAUGCCCGGCAAGCAAGCGGCUGAAAUGGCAGAAAGAAAGUGCAAAAAGCGUGGGGCGCCAGUGAAUGAAGUAAAAAGUGUUUACACGAUCGCAAAAGCGAGGUCCGUUUGCUUAACCCCUUGCCGAGUGAAUAUUGGCAAAUUUAUGAACUUUAAGCUGCAUUUAUGCGUGCGGCUUAUAAGCAAUAAAGGUAACUUAGUGCCAACAAUGUCAUAAAGGCCGCUGUCACAUAAACAACAACGGCAAUGCCAGCAACAAUGGUCAGUCCGGCGGAAUCAAUAUAUGAAUUUAUAUGCAAAAGCCAAAAAAGCGUAGCAUCGCCAAAAGCGAAAACAAAAUUAAUAAUCACAAGAAUUUCACUUUUCACGCAACGACAGCAACAGCAACAGCAGCAGCAGCAGCGGCAACAACAUCAUCAUUGGCAACGUCUGCCUUGUCACCCACAAAUAAACCGAAGCC